GGAAUAUUGGACAAUGGGCGCAAGCCUGAUCCAGCCAUGCCGCGUGUGUGAAGAAGGCCUUCGGGUUGUAACGCACUUUCAGCGGGGAGGAAGGGUGUUGUGUUAAUAGCACAGCAUUUUGACGUUACCCGCCGCAGAAGAACCGGCUUACUCCGUGCCAGCAGCCGCGGUAAUACGGAGGGUGCAAGCGGUAAUCGGAAUUACUGGGCGUAAAGCGGACGUAGGCGGUAUGUUAAGGUGGAUGUGAAAGCCCCGGGCUCAACCUGGGAAUUGCAUGCAAAACUGGCAUGCUAGAGUAUGUGAGAGGGGGGUAGAAUUCCAAGUGUAGCGGUGAAAUGCGUAGAGAUUUGGAGGAAUACCAGUGGCGAAGGCGGCCCCCUGGCACAAUACUGACGCUCAGGUGCGAAAGCGUGGGGAGCAAA
RNAcentral lists this ribosomal RNA (422 nucleotides) under uncultured bacterium. RNAcentral describes it as "bacterial SSU rRNA". It matches the Rfam family "Bacterial small subunit ribosomal RNA", at positions 358 to 772 of the family's 1533-position model. The record is from RNAcentral.